ACGAAUAAUAUAAACAGAUAAUUAUUAAAUUGUUGAAUCAAAGAAACCAAUAUUUAUUUUAAAAAAGUUGCGUAUUUUCAACUUGUUACAAAAACUUAUUAAAAGCAUAAUAAUAAAUUGAAUAACAGAUAUAUGAUUCUAACGUAUAAAGUAUUGUAAUAAUUAAAAUAAACGUUUUUUGUAUAUAUACAUAUAUACAUAAUAAACAAGGUUAAUGUAAGAUAUUCUUCAAAAUAAAUCUGCCCAUUACAUGUUAAUAUAAUAUUGUAUCUAUAUACAUAUAUAUUAAGGAAAGUAAUACAAUACUGUAGUUAUCAAAUGCUUGUUUUUAUUUUGUUAUAAAGAAGAGUAUUAUCAAAUAUUAAAUGAAUACGAAAUGAUAUUGGGAUAAUGAUUUUCAAACAACUACAACAAUCUGAAUUUGUCAGUUGUAAAACAAAUUUAUAUACCUCAAUGAAAAAAAUACCCAAAAAGGUAAGAAACAAUGUAAGGUUUCGAAUAGCAUUACAAACUAAUAAUAACUUCUCCCCAAACAAAGAAAAAGGAAAAAAGAUGUAAUUAUUUGUAUUACUAUUGACAAAAAUUCAAUAUGUGUGAUAUUGUCAGAAAUCUUAAUUAACGUAAUCCGUAAUUACAUAAAUUUUAAUUGAAAUCAUUUUCAAAAUAAUCAUAAUUAAAAUACUAAAAAAAAAACAACGAAAAGAAAAGGAGAAAAAAGGGAAAACCCACAAAAAAACAAACAUGCUUGAAGGAGAAAAGAUUGGCAUUGUAUAUUAUUAUAAAAAAAAGAAACGACCACAAAAGAAGCUGGAUUUAUGAUUUCUAAAGGUAAAGUAUAUGAAAAAAGGA
Molecule: long non-coding RNA, 849 nt
Organism: Bombus pyrosoma
Lineage: Eukaryota; Metazoa; Arthropoda; Insecta; Hymenoptera; Apidae
Exons: 2
Source: RefSeq, a predicted model, not a curated record